Molecule: small RNA, 1248 nt
Filed under: Pongo abelii (Sumatran orangutan)
Lineage: Eukaryota; Metazoa; Chordata; Mammalia; Primates; Hominidae
Description: processed transcript
Source: RNAcentral
UGAUGGUUCCUAAUACUUCACAUUAGAAGAACUCAAAUUUGAUGACCAGUUUGAGAAACACCAGUAUAACCAGAUUACAAGAAAGAGCAAGUCAAAAGGAUGAUCAUGAAUAUAACAACUUCGAGGAAACAUUUAAUCAAAAACCAAAGCUUUUUAAACAACUGAGAGUUUUUAUAAGAAAAAGACCUCAUACAGUAGUCCCCACUUAUUCAUGGGGGAUACAUUUCAAGAUCCCCAGAGAAUGCCUGAAAUCACUGAUGUACCAAACCCUAACCAGGUUCUUAGUAUGAGCUACUAAAUGACAAAUGGUGUUCCUCCCACUCCUGAAGAGGAUGCAGUGUUCAAGAUGCCAUCUUAGAAGCAGAGACUGGGCCCUUUCCAGACACCAAAACCUGCCAUCACCUUGGACUUCUCAGCCUCUAGAACUGUGAAGAAGCACUAAUUUGUUCUUACUGGAACUGGCAACUACCUUGGAGAGGGAAUUUUGCUCUGUUGCCCAGGCUGGAAUGCAGUGGUGCAAUCUCAGCUCACUGCAACCUCCCUUCUCCUGGGUUCAGACAAUUCUCCUGUAUCAGCCUCCUGAGUAGCUGGGAUUACAGGCGCACACCAUUACGCCCAUUUCUAGGAAGAAAAUAAAUAGAGUGCCACAAAGUAAAGAACAGAUAUGCAAACCUGGAUGGCAGGGUCAUGGAAGGCUCUUCAAGGAGGUAAUACUUAAGCAGUUCGGAUAUAUAUUUAAAGGCCUCAGAUUUUUCAGCUCCAGAGACGCUGCCAAUCAUUGAUCUUCACCAAACUUCAGUAGAUUCCUCAUCCAACCUUUUCACAGACCUUCCUCCCAAAGGUAAAUUGAAGGCCAGAGACAGGAAUUUGCCUAAAUCACAGAGUCUCACAUUGUCAUCCAGUCUGGAGUGCAAUGGCAUGACCUCAGCUCACUGCAGCCUCCGUCUCCUGGGUUCAAGCAAUUCUCCUGCCUCACCCUCUCUAGUAGCUGGGAUUACAGAGCAUCAAAAUAUUAUUUUUGUUUAUGUGGCCCCAGGACAGAUAAAACUUGUACUGGUGCAAAAAUACAUCCCAGUCAUAACCAUUAGUCAUGAAGUCUACAGUUCAUUUGAUGCAAUACUUAUUGAUCAUCUAUAAUUUGUGAAAGUGUUGUCAGGUUAUCAAUCUAUAGUUCUACCACAAAUAUUUAAAUGCAGUACUAGAGUAUUAUUUAAUGGAAUUCUGUCAUAAACCAACGCAUCCCUCCUG